UACGUAGGGUGCGAGCGUUAUUCGGAUUUAUUGGGCGUAAAGGGUUCGUAGGGGGUUGUGUAAGUCUGAAGUGAAAUCCUGUGGCUCAACCACAGAACUGCUUUGGAUACUGCACGACUAGAGUACUGGAGAGGCAAGCAGAAUUCCUGGUGUAGCGGUGGAAUGCGUAGAUAUCAGGAGGAAUACCGAUAGCGAAGGCAGCUUGCUGGACCGCUAUCGACGCUGAGGAGCGAAAGCUAGGGGAGCAAACAGG
Molecule: ribosomal RNA, 253 nt
Filed under: uncultured bacterium
Lineage: Bacteria
Description: partial 16S ribosomal RNA
Rfam family: Bacterial small subunit ribosomal RNA
Source: RNAcentral